GGGGAAUAUUGCACAAUGGGCGAAAGCCUGAUGCAGCAACGCCGCGUGAGGGAUGACGGCCUUCGGGUUGUAAACCUCUUUUAGUAGGGAAGAAGCGAAAGUGACGGUACCUGCAGAAAAAGCACCGGCUAACUACGUGCCAGCAGCCGCGGUAAUACGUAGGGUGCAAGCGUUGUCCGGAAUUAUUGGGCGUAAAGAGCUCGUAGGCGGCUUGUCGCGUCUGCCGUGAAAACCCAGGGCUCAACCCUGGGCGUGCGGUGGGUACGGGCAGGCUAGAGUGCGGUAGGGGAGAUUGGAAUUCCUGGUGUAGCGGUGGAAUGCGCAGAUAUCAGGAGGAACACCGAUGGCGAAGGCAGAUCUCUGGGCCGCUACUGACGCUGAGGAGCGAAAGCAUGGGGAGCGAAC
RNAcentral lists this ribosomal RNA (405 nucleotides) under uncultured bacterium. RNAcentral's name for it is "bacterial SSU rRNA". It matches the Rfam family "Bacterial small subunit ribosomal RNA", at positions 356 to 773 of the family's 1533-position model. The record is from RNAcentral.